ACACGGGCUGCCCUGGGAAUGCCCGAGCAUGUGGCAGAGCCCUGGGGGCAGCUGCUGUCCAGGGACAGCACCAGGUGGCACGUGGGGGAGUCCACAGAUAAGCCAGGAGGGUGAAUCUGGUGGUUCAUGAUUGGAUUUUACUUUGCUGGUGCCUUUUUUAAGACCACAGACAGCACCAGCCACAAAAAUGAAGAUUUUACUCACUAUCAAGCCCACUGAGAAUUGGUGUGGAGUCAGCCAGGGCUUGUCCUGCAGGACCCUCCAUUCCUGGAAAAACUGGGAAAGUCUCAGGAAAGAAGGCCUAAUCCAGGUGCAGCCCUCGUUUCUCCUUGGAUCCGAGCCUCUGGAGCUGCUGGAGCUGAGCUGUGUCCCAGGAGGGCAGCUUGGCUUGCAAGGAGAGCAAACCUUCCCCAAACCUGCCUGCAGGGGAGGAGCAGCCAGGCUGCCAUUCCCAGGGGACAAGGAGAGCAUCCACCUUCCCCUUCUGACCCUUUCCACUCUGCUCUCUCACCCAUCAUCUCCCUGUCCCUCCCUUCAUCUCUCUUUCCCUCUUUCCCUUUUCUCUCCAUGGAGAUGAGCAAAUCAGAGCCUCUGCUUCAACCCCCCCAGUAAGACCUGGAUCAUUUUUAUAAUUUUAUUUCUAAUUAAUCCAUUUCCCUCUGCCCAGUGGAGCCUGUGGGGUGACCCCAGACCAUGUAGGACCCUCCACAUCAGCUGAGAAACGGGAUUCUCCUUUAUUAAAUGUGGAAGUCCAUCUGCCACUGCAGAAAACAUUUCCCUGCCCUGCCAGUGAAUGAGUUCAGUCUCUGGAAUAAAUGAGUGGGAAUCCA
This is a long non-coding RNA of Passer domesticus (house sparrow), 830 nucleotides long. RefSeq lists it as uncharacterized. The record is from RefSeq and is a predicted model, not a curated record. NCBI's taxonomy places the organism in Eukaryota, Metazoa, Chordata, Aves, Passeriformes, Passeridae. The transcript has 3 exons.